CUUUUUUAGUGACAAUACAAGGCAAGUGGCAGAAGAUCUCUAUUAUCUCUUAUGGAGAAUAUCUACAGAUUUCUAAGUCUGAAAUAAGAGCUCUGCUCCAAGUACCCAUUGAGGACAGCUUACCAGUACAAGAGCUAAUGGUGUCUUUUGGAGGGAUCUCCUAGCAGGGUCACCAGUGGAUGAAGAGGACAUGUAAGAGAAAUGUAGCUUGAAUAAAACACAAAAGACCUUCAUCUCACUUCGCCCUCUCCAGGUACUGGAACCCCGACCGGCUCAGCCAAAUCAGGGUAAAAUAAAAAGAUGUGGAUUUAGGGCAGUUGUUUUGCUGAGAGAUCUGAAUCCUUGUAUUAUUAAGGGAAGAGCAACAAAGUGUUAAAGGUUGCCCUAGAACCAUUUUAUGGAGGAAAAAAUCACCUGUGACUACUACUGCAGGCAUUUGAAUGGAUCACGCCUUUCAGUGGAGAUGAGACAUCUCUCUUGUUUAUGUGAGGAUCCUCCUUCUUAUCCCAAAAGGAGAAGAGAGGGGACAAAAAGGAAGGAGAGACCUUCUCCCCUGUUGCACACAGCAGGGCCAUGGGAUGCCGCUGGAUGCUGGUGAUUCCAUUUAUGCCAUCUGGCACAGUGCCCCACAUUACCCUCAGAAUUAUGGAAUUAUCAACUACUUCACAGAUUAUACAGUGCUAAGUUUGUAAUUCUCAUCAUUUCUCAUUUCUUCUAAAUCUGCACAAUUAUUUGUAAUAAAAAUCAACCUUGACACUGCAAGGUAGUCACCAUAUGUAUUCAUAUUAAAUUCGCAUUUCAGUUAUUGGAAGACAUGCCUGCCAGCUGAUCUUAAUGCAAUAAUUUAUCACUUUUUAUUAUAAUAAUACCUCAGGAUUCUUACAAAAGUCACUGUGCUGAACUGAUGAGCUAGGGAAGGAAGAAAUGGCCAGAAGUCCAGAAUGCCAACCUCCUCUGUAAAUUAGGACUGAUCUUUUUCACAUUGCUAAACUGACUGCUGCACUAGCCAUGUGGCUGAGUGACGACAGAACUUGUUCAAGUAGGCAAAUAUUCAGUCAGUUCUGUAUUAUAUGAGCUAGAAAGACAUUACAAAGACAUUGAGUGCAUCUACAAGGCUCUAUCAUUCUCUGUCUUAACUUUACCUACUAUGAUCUCUACCUUCUUCCCAGCUCUCUCUAGAAGCUGAACAUUUCAAAGUCUUCCAUGUAGCCUGUUUAGCAGGCUUUCUCACACAUAGUUCUGGCUACAUAAAAAUAUGUGUUAAUUACUAACAAGCGUGUCAGUAUAACCAUUACACAAGAAAACAUAAAAAUGGUAAAACAAACAAACAAAAAAAAAAAACCAUCCAGAUUUUCAAUUUAGUCUAUUUCAAGAAUAGAAAUAUUAUUCAAAAUUUACCUACUACAAAACAUUACUUCAUAUUAAUAUCAAUGAAUCAUUCUAAAAUAAAAAUAUAAUUAUAUAAGAACAGUGGAUCAUUCAGUUAGACUACAUGCAAUAAUAAACAACAAAGACCACAAAUAUGGUGGGACUAACUUGCCAAGUUGGCAGAAUAUUAUAUGUAAGCAUCCAAAAAGUGAAAGUGAUGUUUUCCGCUCUCUUUCCAUCUUCUGUUCUAACUGGGUGGUCCCAUAUCAUGACCCUGACAGCCUACACUGCUCAUUUGGGUAAGAGCAGGCAUGUCCGACUCGCAGCCAGCAUGCAGCCUGGCACAGCUGGCAAGGUCGCCUGGCCUCUGUCCUGUGAAACCUGUCCUCCACUGCUGCUGCAGCUCUGUCCCACUGCAUGGCCUGGCCCAGACACAGGAGUGCACCCAUCACUCAGCAACAACAAAACACCAGUGACCUAUUAAAACUGUCUGAGCUGAGACCAGGACAUGGGGAGGGCACAGUGCAGUGCUGACUCAAAUUAUAACAAAUAAUUGUAUGCAUUUUGGUUAGCUGGCUAAACACGGUCUUGUGAACAGCAAAAAAGUAUGCAGCCCUGCUUUCUGUUUUGAUAAAGGAACUUGAGAACAGGUUUUAAGAUAGCAAAAAAAAAAAAACCCAUAUUUUUUAAUGUAUUUGUAACUCCAUUUUCAGACUACCUAAAUACAUUACCUCUGACUUUUCACAUGGAGUGUAUAAAGUUGCAAUCAGACAUUCAACUCAAAAAUCUGACCAUGUUGCUUUAUUUUUAUGAGACCUAUCCUGUCAGAUAAAACCAUCCCUCUCUUCACAAUAGCACCAUACUCAUGUCAUUGCUUUUUGGCAGUAUGUAUAUUUGUGAACAACUAUUUCCAAGGAUGAAAUACAGGAAGAAUAAUACUUCACCAAAAAAUCUGUGAUGAACACCUUGAGAACUCACCAAGAAUAGCAGUCACUACCAUCAAACCAGACUGAUGCAUUAAUUUAAAAAUCAGUGCCACAUAUCCUGUUUGUUCUGUUUUUGUUGCAUUCUUUGUUUUAAUAAAAAUAUUUAUAAGAUUAUAGUAAGUUUUGUUACUUAUAUACAUGACCUAUGUUACAUAUUGUAUAAAGGAUGCUCUGAAAGUAAUGCCUGCUUUUUUAUGAUGUUGGCCCACAAUGUCAGAGGUAGAUGUUGGUUGUUUAGCAGUAGAGGCUGAAUCUUUCCACCGAUAUCCCAUUACAUUUUGUUGCUGUGUGAUCGGUGGCAGCAGAAGGGCAGUCUGACAAAGUAUUCUGACAUGGAAAUGCAUAUGAAGAAGAGAUGUGUCACUGAAUUCCUCCUUGAGGAAAAAAUGGCACCCAUUAACAACCAUAGGCAAUGGUGAAUGUUUAUGGAGACAAACAACUGAUGUGAGCACAGUGAGCUGGUGGGUGGUACAUUUCAGCAGAGGUGACAGUGAGUCAUCUCUACUGUUGCAGAUUUUUACAAGUGCAGCAUGAAAGCUCUUGAUCACUGCUGGUGAAAAUGAAUAGCUAAUGGUGAUGACAAUGUGGAAAAGCAGAGUGUUGUAGCUGAGAUUUUUCUCUAUCAGAUAGUGUUAUUGUACUCUUUGUAUCAAUUGUAGUUGCCAUGGAAAUUGAUAGAAGGCAUUACUUUUGGAGCAAUCCUUGUGUAUGUGGCCCAAGAAAAUUCCUGUUCACUCAGUGCAGUCCACGUAAGCCAAGAGGUUGGACACCCACAGGUGACAGCAUUAUUGCAUGUUAUCCUUAGUUUUCCCUUCCAUAUUUGCUCACAGCCAAGGUAAAUUGUUGUAGGAGCUCUCUG
Molecule: long non-coding RNA, 3213 nt
Filed under: Gallus gallus (chicken)
Lineage: Eukaryota; Metazoa; Chordata; Aves; Galliformes; Phasianidae
Description: lncRNA (ENSGALG00010018856.1)
Source: RNAcentral